AGUCGAGCGAAUGGAUUAAGAGCUUGCUCUUAUGAAGUUAGCGGCGGACGGGUGAGUAACACGUGGGUAACCUGCCCAUAAGACUGGGAUAACUCCGGGAAACCGGGGCUAAUACCGGAUAACAUUUUGAACCGCAUGGUUCGAAAUUGAAAGGCGGCUUCGGCUGUCACUUAUGGAUGGACCCGCGUCGCAUUAGCUAGUUGGUGAGGUAACGGCUCACCAAGCACGAUGCGUACCGACCUGAAGGGUGAUCGGCCACCUGGGACUGAAC
Molecule: ribosomal RNA, 271 nt
Filed under: Bacillus sp. CSu4_10
Lineage: Bacteria; Bacillati; Bacillota; Bacilli; Caryophanales; Bacillaceae
Description: partial 16S ribosomal RNA
Rfam family: Bacterial small subunit ribosomal RNA
Source: RNAcentral